GAUGAACGCUGGCGGCGUGCCUAAUACAUGCAAGUCGAGCGAACGGACGAGAAGCUUGCUUCUCUGAUGUUAGCGGCGGACGGGUGAGUAACACGUGGAUAACCUACCUAUAAGACUGGGAUAACUUCGGGAAACCGUAGCUAAUACCGGAUAAUAUUUUGAACCGCAUGGUUCAAAAGUGAAAGACGGUCUUGCUGUCACUUAUAGAUGGAUCCGCGCUGCAUUAGCUAGUUGGUAAGAUAACGGCUUACCAAGGCAACGAUGCAUAGCCGACCUGAGAGGGUGAUCGGCCACACUGGAACGGAGACACGGUCCAGACUCCUACGGGAGGCAGCAGUAGGGAAUCUUCCGCAAUGGGCGAAAGCCUGACGGAGCAACGCCGCGUGAGUGAUGAAGGUCUUCGGAUCGUAAAACUCUGUUAUUAGGGAAGAACAUAUGUGUAAGUAACUGUGCACAUCUUGACGGUACCUAAUCAGAAAGCCACGGCUAACUACGUG
Molecule: ribosomal RNA, 497 nt
Filed under: uncultured bacterium
Lineage: Bacteria
Description: partial 16S ribosomal RNA
Rfam family: Bacterial small subunit ribosomal RNA
Source: RNAcentral